Molecule: ribosomal RNA, 190 nt
Filed under: uncultured Flavobacterium sp.
Lineage: Bacteria; Pseudomonadati; Bacteroidota; Flavobacteriia; Flavobacteriales; Flavobacteriaceae
Description: partial 16S ribosomal RNA
Rfam family: Bacterial small subunit ribosomal RNA
Source: RNAcentral
UCCUACGGGAGGCAGCAGUGAGGAAUAUUGGACAAUGGGCGCAAGCCUGAUCCAGCCAUGCCGCGUGCAGGAAGACUGCCCUAUGGGUUGUAAACUGCUUUUAUACGGGAAGAAUAAGUGUUACGUGUAGCACGAUGACGGUACCGUAAGAAUAAGCACCGGCUAACUCCGUGCCAGCAGCCGCGGUAAU